GUGCUUACUUCAGCAGCAUAUGGACUAAGAUCCGAAUGAUACAGAGAUUAGCAGGGCUUCUGCAUAAGAAUGACACACAAGUUUGUGACUUGUUUUAUAUUUUU
Molecule: small nuclear RNA, 104 nt
Organism: Hyaena hyaena (striped hyena)
Lineage: Eukaryota; Metazoa; Chordata; Mammalia; Carnivora; Hyaenidae
Source: RefSeq, a predicted model, not a curated record